CCUACGGGAGGCAGCAGUGAGGAAUAUUGGUCAAUGGACGAGAGUCUGAACCAGCCAAGUCGCGUGAAGGAUGACUGCCCUAUGGGUUGUAAACCUCUUUUAUAGAGGAACAAAGCGCGACACGUGUGCGUUUUUGCAUGUACCUUAUGAAUAAGCAUCGGCUAACUCCGUGCCAGCAGCCGCGGUAAUACGGAGGAUCCGAGCGUUAUCCGGAUUUAUUGGGUUUAAAGGGUGCGUAGACGGGCUGUUAAGUCAGCUGGGAAAAUUGGCGGCUCAACCGUAGAAGUGCAAUUGAAACUGGCAGUCUUGAGUGGGGUAGAGGUAAGCGGAAUUCGUGGUGUAGCGGUGAAAUGCAUAGAUAUCACGAAGAACCCCGAUUGCGAAGGCAGCUUACUAAA
RNAcentral lists this ribosomal RNA (398 nucleotides) under uncultured bacterium. Its description in RNAcentral is "partial 16S ribosomal RNA". It matches the Rfam family "Bacterial small subunit ribosomal RNA", at positions 338 to 733 of the family's 1533-position model. The record is from RNAcentral.